GGGGACGAUCGGUUUCGACGAGGAUAUAAGGAUUUUGAAUUCGCAGGUCGGGGAUUUGGCAGCCUCGUUAAAAAAGCCUUAAAAAUCAUAUUUGGCGAAGAUAACUAUUCUUACGCAUUAGCAGCCUGAGAUAAGGUUGUGAGUUUCUUAAUUUGUUAACUGUCGCAGUUUAAGAAACUACAAAUUUGGCAGUUAGGCUGUCGUUUAUGUCACGGGGACGACAGCGAGACAAACGUGAAUAGACGGAUAAUCAGCGCGUUGAUUCGCGGAUAUUCGUUGAGAAACAAAUAUUUCAACUAAGCCUGUAGAAGAUUCUUAAACCGUAUUUUCGGACCCGGGUUCGAUUCCCGGCGUCUCCACAU
This 362-nucleotide transfer-messenger RNA is filed under the name bacterium. It matches the Rfam family "transfer-messenger RNA". From Rfam's summary of the family: Bacterial tmRNA, also known as 10Sa RNA or SsrA, is named for its dual tRNA and mRNA-like properties. The record is from RNAcentral.